RNAcentral lists this ribosomal RNA (244 nucleotides) under uncultured bacterium. Its description in RNAcentral is "partial 16S ribosomal RNA". It matches the Rfam family "Bacterial small subunit ribosomal RNA", at positions 530 to 773 of the family's 1533-position model. The record is from RNAcentral.
GGGAGAAAGCGUUAUCCGGCUUUAUUGGGUGUAAAGGGUGCGUAGACGGGAAUGCAAGUUGGUUGUGAAAUCCCUCGGCUUAACUGAGGAACUGCAACCAAAACUACAUUUCUUGAGUGCUGGAGAGGAAAGUGGAAUUCCUAGUGUAGCGGUGAAAUGCGUAGAUAUUAGGAGGAACACCAGUGGCGAAGGCGACUUUCUGGACAGUAACUGACGUUGAGGCACGAAAGUGUGGGGAGCAAAC